CGAGUGACCUCGAACCAGUUAUUAUGUGUAGUAAGAAAUUGGAUUCCUUUGCAUGGAGAAUUUCAGUGGCUAGAGUUCACGGCUCCUCGAUUGAUUCAGAUUCAGUUGUAUUAAGUCUGCCCACUAAUAAUGUAGAGCAAAAUAGGUAUUGUGGUGUUUGCAGAGCCGACCCGAGCUGAACCCAAGACAGAAGUGGAGUCCUGCUGGGAACGAGCUGAAACAUUGGACACGGACUGGAUGAUUUAAAAAUGAAAUGUAUUAAUGAGAUGAUAUGUGCUGUAACCAUUUGUAAUGUUUGAAUAAUCUUUAGUCUGUAACAAAUACUGUAAAGUGCUCUCUCUGUAAGACCGAAAAACAGAAUCUGGUACAACUUGAUACACUGGCCGGCCUUGAGCAGUCUCUUAUUAAAAUUGGCACGAUUCCCAGAAUUUAGUGCUGAAAUCUCUGUUAAGACUUUUCAGCUUGACUACAGAAUAAUGCUGUACUAAUAGAUGUAUGUUAAUAUGCUUGUUUUAAAUGGUAUAGAUUGCUGUGGUAACAUAUAAUCAUAGGUAGUGAUAAUUAUUGUUAGUAUGAAAUACUAUGAACAAUUUUUAUGUAUAAGAUCAUAUGAUUCACUUUGCUUAAUAUGAUAGCAUACCUGAAGCUGUUUUCUAUCAAGAUGAGCAUAGUUAAAAACGGAGUCCUAAUUCAAUGAAAAGAAUUACUGUGUGCUUACAUUCAAGAAUUAUAACUUCUGAAUAUAAAGGGAAAAGGAGUUAGGAGUAUUCUUAAGGGAAAGAGAAAAACAGAAAAGGAUUAAAAGACCUCGCUUUGAGUAGGUUUCUGCUUGUAAUUCAGUUUUAAAAUAAGUAGGUGAGUAAGAACAACCUAGAGUAAAAGCAGACUCUAACUUAAGAAAAUAAGCAUUGUCAGAAGAUACACCACAACUAGAGAGCAGAAAAAUUGAAUAAAAUCCUAUUGUAAUAUUGCGGAUAUACUGCUGCUAGCAGAAAGUAAUAAGGUUAGCAGCCAUACGCUAUAAGAAGUAAUGUACUAGUUUGACUCUGAAGUUAAAAGACGCAGCAUAAAAAGAUGUUGUGUUUAAAAUACAAAAUAAAAGGAUUGAAUAAAUAAUGAAGAAUAAAAGCAGGAGAUCGGUUUUAGGAGAGUAAACUCUAUGUGACCUGUCUUCCUGAACUCUCUAUCAGCCUGCCCUUGGAGAAAUUAAUAUUAGCUGCUGGAAGGCCUCUUUGGUGGGAAGAAGCCGGAAUUUUUUUAUCAGAAGGCUUAUAGUAUCGGGCCGGACUGCAAAAAUAGGGAGUUAGAACGGAUGGUCUUAGCACCUAAGAUAGUUAGUUGCCGGGCGGAACAAGCAUGUAAGAUACAGGUGUAAGGAAAGUUCUAGGGAACAUUAAUCACUAUUAAACUUGGCAAGAAAAGAGGUGUCUCCAGCAAGCUGGUUUUAGCCAGUAUGAAUAUAGCUGAAACAUACAGGGUCAUCUGGAUGUCAAUUAAGUUCAAGCUACCAGGGGCCCAUAGGAGAAAAACAUUACAGCUUUACAGCUCAGUAAAAUAGUUAGGUUUUCCAUAAGGAGAAAACUCUACAUUAAAAAGAUAUAAGAUGGAAGUUCCCUAUAAUACCUGCUAAACACACACCUGUAAGGAAAGAAUGAAAUUAAUUUGAGAGUGAGAUGACAUGAGGGAAUAUAUUUUUGAAAGCCAAGUUCAUGUAAUCAAUUAUAAUCAUUAUAACUAUAACUGCUAUAUUAUGAUAUAACUAUUGGUGUUGCAUAUAUUCAAAAAACACCACUUUUCUUAUAUUGGUGUUGCAUAUAUUUAAAACACCACUCCUUUUUAUAAUGCACCCAUAUUAAGUAGUGAAUCAAGGUUGCAGGGAUUUUGUGAACUCUGCUUCACCUAACUUUUCAGAUGAAGGAGGGGGGCCAAGAAUGAGUGGAUGAGAACAUGGGCUAGUGUUGAUUUGUUGGCAUAUGACUUUAAUUGAGUCUGAGGAGUUGGUUGAAUUCUUUAGAGAUUACUGUUUGCCAAGAGAUAAGGACUGUCAAUAUAGAUUGAUGACUGGAUCUAAUUGGGGUUUCCCAUUGCUUUCAAUGGGACGAAAAUUGUAUAAAAACCCUGGGCCGAUCACACUGAGACCACCACAAUCAAGCUUGGCAGAGCUAUGUGUGGUCCAUCCUUUGCAGAUCUCUACAGAACAGUCCUUCUCUUUUGUUCACGCUACUCUUCCUUAUAAUAGGAGGUAAGCAUAUUAAUGGUAUUAUUGUAUCUCGCAUUUAUUGGUUAUAUUGCUAUGAGGUUUUGAAACUAUGUUUUGGUAUUAAGAGUGUUAUAUUGAAUGUGCUAAAACAUAGCAGUGGGUGCUUGUAGGCUUUGUGCUUAACCAGCCUGAGGGCUGCACUGAAUACAUAUAAUUGUAUUAUGUUAUUGAAGUAUUAAAUGCUGAAGCUUGUAAUAAACUUAGGAUUGCUAAUUAUUGUUACAUGUUUUCGGGUUUUGGUAGUAUGCGCAAACUACUAAACCAAUAUUAAAGGCAUUUUAAUAAAACGAAGGAGCGCUGAUGUUGCUCUGAUUCGUGAAACUUUGAAUAAAUGAGUCUGAGUGAUUUUCUUGAUUAAAUAAAAAGGUUUUAAGGACACACCGCUCGUCCAGUGCUCGAACAUAAACCACUAGGAGUUUUAAACAUCUCUGUCCUCCUUAACGUCUCCCCUGAGUUAAGAGUGUGUGCAGAGCAAAUAAUAUAAUAAAAGAGAACGUGAAAAGUGAAAACGUGACAGUUGGCGCCCGACCGUGGGGCGAGCGAAAUAAACGGUCCGCAAAAUAAACCUAAUCUAGAAAACACUAAUAAAUACGAUCGACCAAUAAAAAUUAAAAUUGUUUAACAUUUUGAAACGCGUUACUAAAAUAGUUUAAACAUUUUAAUUCCAUCACGUAAUUUUGUAAGGUAAAUUGCGUAUGGGCAUUUAAACUCCGGAAACCCGACGUUGUGACGCAACCCCAGAUGCGGCAACCUCACUCGUGCACAAAUCUUCCGGUAAAAUAAAGUCUAGCAAAAGAGGGCGUUGAACGGGCUAUUAUAAAUAGAAAAACGGGCUACUCUACAUGGCAUAUGCCAAAACUUUUGAAGAAGAAUUCCUUGAGAUAAAUAACCAAUUGGAAGAAGGGGCUCACGCAGUUGUCAACACAUUGUCUCAAAUAAUAGAUAGAGAGAUGAAUGCUGAUGAUAGUUCAGAAAGCGCUUCGGAUAUAGAAGAAGGUGAAAGGAUGGAGUCUCCAUCUUCCUUCUCUGAAAUAGAAAUGGGGGAAGAAACUGCUAACAAAACCACACCUGUGUGGAAAAAAGCUGUUACUUUUUUCAAACCACGAUCUAGAGAAAGAAAGAAAAAUAAACUGUGUGAACCGAGAAGUAAGUCAGCUGAAGCAGCUGCAAGUAGAGAACACUCAGUAAAUCUGCCUUGGGAAGCUGCAACUAGCAGAGAGGAGAGCACCGGCUCCACCCACUAAUUCAUGUGACUUGCGAUCAUCAGGUCCUAAAGGGAUACGAGCACAGAAAGUAACAAACUCUGAAAAACUUAGAGCGCUGAAUACGUUAGACAACCAAUGUAUAAUUUAUUGGCUGUUACAGCUAAUGUCUGCCAAGAAAUAAAUAAUAAUGAAAACCUCUUGCAUGGAGGAGGUGUGGUUAGAGCCCUGUCUGAAGCAAGCGGUUUAAUAAUUCAGGAAGAAAGUUACGAUUGGAUUUAAAAAAAAAAAGGUAAAGUUAGAAGUGAGGAAUGGAUGUAACUGCAACCAGUUUGUUACAUGCAUUUCAUUUGCUAUGAUUCAUGUAGUCCUAGAGAAGGAAUGCUGAAUUCAGUUAAAAAAUUAAGUGAAGCAGUGUUAGCAGCCUUGAUACAGCCUCUGCUUGUAAUGCAAGUGAGGAAUGUUUAGUUCACCCAGAGGGGCGGUAACCUGCUGCAGGGAGAGAGAGAGAGAGCUCACAGACUGCACCAGCUUGUGAGUAUAAGGAGGGGGUCUUGGAGAGCCCAGAGAUCGGGAAUGCACAGAGAGCAGACCUAAAAUAACAUAGAGUGAAAGACAUAGCAGACGUUCGAUUUUUAACCCAUUAGCAGCAGAAGCAGUUGAGAUUAUGAUAGAGAAGGUGGAAGAUUAUUUGAAAUAUUGGAAUUAAUAAAGAUAAUGAUACAGAAACAAAUAAUUAUAUUACAUUAAAUAAUUUAAUACAUUUAAAUAAAAUAAAUAAAUAAAUAAAUAAAUUAGAAUUAAAUUAAAUUAGAUUAAGCAUCAGGGUAUGAAGCUGAGUACAGCCUUUAAAGAAAAAGUUAGCAGUAUUUCUUCCCCAAAAACAAUAAAGCAACUCCAAGCCGUGAUGGGGUUGUUUAAUUAUGCGAGAAACACUGUAACAGGAUACUUAGUCCUGGCAGCCCCGUUGUAUCGAAAGAUUUCCCACGGUAACGCUGAGGGAAAGGGGUCUCGUGGAUAGAAGAAGACGAACUUAGGCUAACGCAGCUUAAGACGUUAAUACAAGAAGCGCAGGAUAUUACCACCCGAGUUAGUGGUAAAUCCUUGGAAGCCUACUUCCAUAUUGGUGAACAAGCUGCAGUAGGGGUGAAAAAUAAAGGGGAUGAAAUGCCAAUAAAGAAUUGGGGUUUCAAUUUCACCUCACAGAACAGCAGUUUUGUUAUGAAAAAAGGAUGCUAACCGCUCUUGCUAGAGUAGCACCGUCCUUAUUCAACCUAGCUCAGGAUGAUCUUAUUGAAGUUUUCAGUGAUACCCCAGGACUAGCUACCCUAACAAAGGGAUCACUGAUAAACACGAAAGCGCUUAAAUUACGGUGGGAUAGAUGGGCCACUUUGCUAGCAGACCCUAGAAUAAUCUUCACUACCGUCUCCGAGCUAGCCUCUAACCUCAGAAGUAAAUUCCUUCACCUUCCCCCGUUUGAAAAAUGGGAGGAAUGAACUGCCCCAGCAGGACAGCCGUUUGUGCCUGACUGGUUAAUCUUCUCAGAUGGAUCCAUUCCAGUUUGUGGAAUAGGGAUAUCCGUCGGAAGAAAUCGGAAUGGAAUUUAUGAGGAAACGUAACACCACUCUGAAGUGGUAUCAGGUCGAUCCGCUCAAGUAGCAGAAGCUAAAGCCCUAUUGAAGGGAUUACAAAUGGCUCAAAGUUUGGGGACGCCCAGUGAGACCAUAUUAUUGAUUACAGACUCAAGUUACUGCACCCAAGAAUUCAAUAUUCACUCUCUAACAUGGAAAGAGAAUGGUUACUCUGACCAUAAGGGUAAGCCCAUAGCGCAUGCCAAUAUAUGGAAAGAGAUUGAAACAUUGAGGAGCAAUAGGAUCAGUGUUCGGCAUGCAGCAGGUCACCAGAAGGGGAAAGAAGUAACUAUAGUGGGAAAUAAUCGCGCUGAUGAAUUAGCGCAAGGAGCAGUACAAGGUCAUCAGCAUCAGCAGCAAAACUGAUCAAUUUGCUAGCUGAUAGCCAGCUGUUGUCUGAGUUCCCCCUGGACGGGGACAGAUACCAGUUGGAACAAGGGAAUUCUAUACCGACUGUUUAAAACAAGCAAAAGGAUAGUACCCCCUAAAGCAAGUCGACAAGCCAUAGUACUGGCAGCUCAUCAAGGAGCAGGUGCCUUGCAUAGUGCACUUAAGGGAACUUUGCAUCAGUUGCGAGAUUAAUGGUGGACUGAACUGCAUGCUGAAACUGUGGAGAUCUGCAGAAGAUGUUUGCCCUGCCUACAACACAUUCAGAAACCAAAAGGAACAAAAGCCGACCCGAGCUGAACCCAAGACAGAAGUGGAGUCCUGCUGGGAACGAGCUGAAACAUUGGACACGGACUGGAUGAUUUAAAAAUGAAAUGUAUUAAUGAGAUGAUAUGUGCUGUAACCAUUUGUAAUGUUUGAAUAAUCUUUAGUCUGUAACAAAUACUGUAAAGUGCUCUCUCUGUAAGACCGAAAAACAGAAUCUGGUACAACUUGAUACACUGGCCGGCCUUGAGCAGUCUCUUAUUAAAAUUGGCACGAUUCCCAGAAUUUAGUGCUGAAAUCUCUGUUAAGACUUUUCAGCUUGACUACAGAAUAAUGCUGUACUAAUAGAUGUAUGUUAAUAUGCUUGUUUUAAAUGGUAUAGAUUGCUGUGGUAACAUAUAAUCAUAGGUAGUGAUAAUUAUUGUUAGUAUGAAAUACUAUGAACAAUUUUUAUGUAUAAGAUCAUAUGAUUCACUUUGCUUAAUAUGAUAGCAUACCUGAAGCUGUUUUCUAUCAAGAUGAGCAUAGUUAAAAACGGAGUCCUAAUUCAAUGAAAAGAAUUACUGUGUGCUUACAUUCAAGAAUUAUAACUUCUGAAUAUAAAGGGAAAAGGAGUUAGGAGUAUUCUUAAGGGAAAGAGAAAAACAGAAAAGGAUUAAAAGACCUCGCUUUGAGUAGGUUUCUGCUUGUAAUUCAGUUUUAAAAUAAGUAGGUGAGUAAGAACAACCUAGAGUAAAAGCAGACUCUAACUUAAGAAAAUAAGCAUUGUCAGAAGAUACACCACAACUAGAGAGCAGAAAAAUUGAAUAAAAUCCUAUUGUAAUAUUGCGGAUAUACUGCUGCUAGCAGAAAGUAAUAAGGUUAGCAGCCAUACGCUAUAAGAAGUAAUGUACUAGUUUGACUCUGAAGUUAAAAGACGCAGCAUAAAAAGAUGUUGUGUUUAAAAUACAAAAUAAAAGGAUUGAAUAAAUAAUGAAGAAUAAAAGCAGGAGAUCGGUUUUAGGAGAGUAAACUCUAUGUGACCUGUCUUCCUGAACUCUCUAUCAGCCUGCCCUUGGAGAAAUUAAUAUUAGCUGCUGGAAGGCCUCUUUGGUGGGAAGAAGCCGGAAUUUUUUUAUCAGAAGGCUUAUAGUAUCGGGCCGGACUGCAAAAAUAGGGAGUUAGAACGGAUGGUCUUAGCACCUAAGAUAGUUAGUUGCCGGGCGGAACAAGCAUGUAAGAUACAGGUGUAAGGAAAGUUCUAGGGAACAUUAAUCACUAUUAAACUUGGCAAGAAAAGAGGUGUCUCCAGCAAGCUGGUUUUAGCCAGUAUGAAUAUAGCUGAAACAUACAGGGUCAUCUGGAUGUCAAUUAAGUUCAAGCUACCAGGGGCCCAUAGGAGAAAAACAUUACAGCUUUACAGCUCAGUAAAAUAGUUAGGUUUUCCAUAAGGAGAAAACUCUACAUUAAAAAGAUAUAAGAUGGAAGUUCCCUAUAAUACCUGCUAAACACACACCUGUAAGGAAAGAAUGAAAUUAAUUUGAGAGUGAGAUGACAUGAGGGAAUAUAUUUUUGAAAGCCAAGUUCAUGUAAUCAAUUAUAAUCAUUAUAACUAUAACUGCUAUAUUAUGAUAUAACUAUUGGUGUUGCAUAUAUUCAAAAAACACCACUUUUCUUAUAUUGGUGUUGCAUAUAUUUAAAACACCACUCCUUUUUAUAAUGCACCCAUAUUAAGUAGUGAAUCAAGGUUGCAGGGAUUUUGUGAACUCUGCUUCACCUAACUUUUCAGAUGAAGGAGGGGGGCCAAGAAUGAGUGGAUGAGAACAUGGGCUAGUGUUGAUUUGUUGGCAUAUGACUUUAAUUGAGUCUGAGGAGUUGGUUGAAUUCUUUAGAGAUUACUGUUUGCCAAGAGAUAAGGACUGUCAAUAUAGAUUGAUGACUGGAUCUAAUUGGGGUUUCCCAUUGCUUUCAAUGGGACGAAAAUUGUAUAAAAACCCUGGGCCGAUCACACUGAGACCACCACAAUCAAGCUUGGCAGAGCUAUGUGUGGUCCAUCCUUUGCAGAUCUCUACAGAACAGUCCUUCUCUUUUGUUCACGCUACUCUUCCUUAUAAUAGGAGGUAAGCAUAUUAAUGGUAUUAUUGUAUCUCGCAUUUAUUGGUUAUAUUGCUAUGAGGUUUUGAAACUAUGUUUUGGUAUUAAGAGUGUUAUAUUGAAUGUGCUAAAACAUAGCAGUGGGUGCUUGUAGGCUUUGUGCUUAACCAGCCUGAGGGCUGCACUGAAUACAUAUAAUUGUAUUAUGUUAUUGAAGUAUUAAAUGCUGAAGCUUGUAAUAAACUUAGGAUUGCUAAUUAUUGUUACAUGUUUUCGGGUUUUGGUAGUAUGCGCAAACUACUAAACCAAUAUUAAAGGCAUUUUAAUAAAACGAAGGAGCGCUGAUGUUGCUCUGAUUCGUGAAACUUUGAAUAAA
Acipenser ruthenus (sterlet) is the source of this 8193-nucleotide long non-coding RNA. RefSeq lists it as uncharacterized. The record is from RefSeq and is a predicted model, not a curated record. The transcript has 2 exons. NCBI's taxonomy places the organism in Eukaryota, Metazoa, Chordata, Actinopteri, Acipenseriformes, Acipenseridae.